UAAAGCAACUGUCACAUAAUGGUUCUGACAAGAACUAGCUUCCAGUCAACUGACCAACCCUGGAUGAGCAGUUAAGGUGGCUGGAGUCAGGGUGGCAUUCUAACAAAAGCCAGCAGGGUCCUGGGCACGGUCUUUGCUGACCCAGCCAUCCUCGGUGUCAGGGACCCUGGACCAGGAAGUCACCAUCUCCUGCUCCGGGAACAGCAACAUUGGAUCCCAUAAUGUGUGUUGGUUCCAGCUGUCAGUGGUGCUACCCCAAAACUCUGACUCUUGGAAGUACCAGGCCCUGAGAGAUUCCAGAUGAUUCUCUGUCUCUAAGUCAGGCAACGUGGUCUCUUUGACCACCUGUGGGCUCCAGCCUGAGGAUCAGGUGAUUGUUACUGUCACACAUAUGACAGAGACCUCAGUGUACUCAGUGCUGUGUGCCCACGAGGAAGUGAGACAUAAACCACCCCCUGGGGCCCCUGAUCACACCUUCACUCCUCUGUGAUUGACGUCACCUCUGUCACCAGCAUCUGAGGGUCUGAGACCCCUACAUGGGUCUAUCGAUCUGAGCAUGUCCCUUCCUCUGAUCCCCUGUAGACUGAGCCAUUCCUAUCGAUGCACCCUCUGCCUGCUCAUGUCCACACAGGCAGGAGCUCCUUUUCCAGGGCACCUGGUCUCUCCAGAGAGACAGUGAUGGGGACAGAGGGAGGCUGACUCCAGUCAUGUCAGAAACAAGAAAGACCUAGAGACUGCGCUGGAGCCGACACGGAUCUCACACGGAUCCCACGCUCCUGGUGACGACAGUGUUAGGAAAAUAAGUGUAUUAAAUUUUGGGGGUCUAAUUCUCAUGAAAAACUGAAAGAGAAAAUAUUCUUCAUUUUUGGACUUAUAAUCGAUGAUCUAAUAAAAUUCUGUGAAUACUCUGCUGAUGCAGCUGAAAGUCAAGCUGCUGUGGCCUCUUUGUAGUGACAGGGACAUCCCUCAACCCACACCCCCGGUGUCUGGAAUCCCAGCUGCCCAGGUCCCUCUCUGACACCAGGAGCAGCUUCAUGAAGAGCAUCGGGACAAUAGUCCUCCUCUAACCGGAGGGCCCAG
This is a long non-coding RNA of Equus asinus (donkey), 1080 nucleotides long. Lineage: Eukaryota; Metazoa; Chordata; Mammalia; Perissodactyla; Equidae. The record is from Ensembl.